Molecule: long non-coding RNA, 2414 nt
Organism: Neofelis nebulosa (Clouded leopard)
Lineage: Eukaryota; Metazoa; Chordata; Mammalia; Carnivora; Felidae
Exons: 2
Source: RefSeq, a predicted model, not a curated record
AAAAAAAAAAAAGCUUCAUCUAUUCCAGCUCUAACAUAAUACCUAACAUUGUACAUUCCACUAUUAAUGUUUGUAGAAUGAUUACAGACAUUUGAUUUAAAGUAUUUGAGGGGCACCUGAGUGGCUCAGUCGGUUGAGCGUCUCACUCUUGAUUUCAGCCCAGUGCAUGAUCUCAGUUCGUGGAUUCAAGUCCCACAUUGGGCUCCACACUGGCAGUGUAGAGCCUGAUUGGGAUUCUCUCUUUCUGUCCCUCCCAUGUACUCUCACUCAAAAAUAAAUAAACUUUUUAAAAAAUAAUAAAAAUAAAUCAAGUAUUUAAAAAACGUCUCUAGGGGCGCCUGGGUGGCUCAGUCAGUUAAGUGGCCGACUUCAUCUCAGAUCAUGAUCUCAUGGUUUGUGCGUUCGAGCCCCACAUCGGGCUCUGUGCUAACAGCUCAGAGCCUGGAGCCUGCUUCGGAUUCUGUGUCUCCCUCUCUCUCUGCUCCUCCCCUGUUCAUGCUGUCUCUCUCUCUCCUUCAAAAAUAAAUAAAAACAUUAAAAUAAUAAUAAUAAAUUAAAUAAAUAAAAAAUAAAACACAUCUCCAACAUGAAAAAUCAGAAUAAACUGGAAAAAGGAACUCAGAGAAAACAGACAACGCAAAGAACAAAGAAAACCAACCUUCCUUCCUUCCUUCCUUUCUUUCUUUCUUUCUUUCUUUCUUUCUUUCUUUCUUUCUUUCUUUCUUUCUUUCUUUAAAGUAAUCUCUGCACCCAACAUGGGGCUCAAACUCACAACCCAGAGAUCAAGAAUUGCAUGCUCUACUAAUUGAGCCAUCCAGGUGCCUUGAAAACUUUUUUUUAAAAAACUAAUAUCCUUAGAGAAUAAGAAAAUAGUAGAACCAUGAAGCAAGAUUAGAUUGCCAUGAAAAGAGACACUUAGAGAACAAGAAAGAGGACUUAGAAAUCGAGAACAUAAUCAUUAGAAUAAAAAUUCAAUGGAAGGGCUGGUAAAAAAAAGUUAAGAUUUUCCAGAAAGUACUACAAAAAAGACAAGUUUUUGUUAUUGUUGUUUUAAGGAGGAAAAAGAUAAGAAUGGUUCAGGAAGUCUAAUACCUGACUAUGGGAGUUUCAGAAAAAGAACAACCAGGGAGGGAAAAAAUAUCAAAACUGUAUAGGAAACCAUCCCGGAAAUGAGCCCUUUAUUGAAAAGGCUCAGAAUAAUAAGACAGACCUACACCAAGGCACAUUAUUUUGAAAUUUCAGAACACUGAGAAUUAAAAGAUCUUAAGAGCUUUGUCACCCCUUCCUAUUCCUCUCUCCCAAAAAGCCACAGACCUAGGAAGAAUAGCCUUGGAUUUCUAAACAAUGGAAGUGUUCAUUUGUUAGAAAUAAGUUAUAGAAAAGAAAAGUGGUUGCCAUUCAAGAAGAUUGAGAGGUCAGACUAAAGGUAGAGAGCUGCUAUUUUUUCUAACAUGUUAGUAGUAUUUUACUCCUUUUAACAACAUGUAUAUAUUACUUUAGCACAAUUUUUUAAACUUAAUAUUGUCUCUUGAUGACAUCUUUUUCUUUUGUUUAGAGAUUUUAAAGAGAAAUUUUCUAAUAACUAUAACUUCAAAAUUUAUACAGUAUUUACUUUCAAAAGUAAAUUAAACUGCCUAUCAUUUCAAGUAUUCAUAAAUAGCCUAAUAGCUAUCAGUCAGGGGUGCUUCAGAGAUGGUGGGAGGUUGGAACAGGUGAAAUGUAAGUUCCUUAUUAUUUCUUUAGUUUCUGCAAUUUUAAGCCUUAGUCCUUUUUCACACUAGUACUAUUUAUUCCUGCCCUUCUUCCCAAAUCCUGGAAUGAUCUCUACUGUCCUCUCUAUCUAAUUAUGUCUUUUUUCUAAGACCCACUUCAUAGCCACCUCAGUCAAUCUUGAUUGGUGAAUUCUUUGGACUUACAAUUAUCCAUAUGCCUGUUUGGCCUUUAAUUAUAUAUUGUUUUCUAUUACUACAUAUAGGACCUGUUUUUCCUGUGCAUUUAAAAACUUCUUGAAACCAAAGAGUUUGGCUUAUACUAUUUUAGAAUUUAGCAUAGUACUUGAUAUAUAAUGGGCAGUAAAUAUUUAAGUAAUUAUUGAGUGCCUGUUAUAUAUUCUACUAUGGUGAAAUAAGCAUAUAGACCUAUAUCCAAGGAGCUUAGAAUCCUGAAUUAAAGGUUCAAAGUACUAUGUGGUUGGGGCGCCUGGGUGGCCCAGUUGGUUAAGCAUCUGACUUCAGCUCAGGUCAUGAUCUCACGGUUCGUGGGUUCAAGCCCUGGGUUGGGCUGUGUGCUGACAGCUUGGAGCCUAGAGCCUGGAGCCUGCUUCUGAUUCUGUGUCUCCCUCUCUCUCUGCCCCUCCCCUGCUCAUACUCUGUCUCUCUCUCUCUCUCAAAAAUAAAUAAGUGUAAAAAAAUUUU